Molecule: ribosomal RNA, 491 nt
Filed under: uncultured bacterium
Lineage: Bacteria
Description: partial 16S ribosomal RNA
Rfam family: Bacterial small subunit ribosomal RNA
Source: RNAcentral
AGUGAACGCUGGCGGUAGGCCUAACACAUGCAAGUCGAACGGCAGCACAGUAAGAGCUUGCUCUUACGGGUGGCGAGUGGCGGACGGGUGAGGAAUACAUCGGAAUCUACUUUUUCGUGGGGGAUAACGUAGGGAAACUUACGCUAAUACCGCAUACGACCUACGGGUGAAAGCAGGGGAUCUUCGGACCUUGCGCGAUUGAAUGAGCCGAUGUCGGAUUAGCUAGUUGGCGGGGUAAAGGCCCACCAAGGCGACGAUCCGUAGCUGGUCUGAGAGGAUGAUCAGCCACACAGGAACUGAGAAACGGUCCAGACGCAUACGGGAGGCAGCAGUGGGGGAUAUUGGACAAUGGGCGCAAGCCUGAUCCAGCCAUACCGCGUGGGUGAAGAAGGCCUGCUGGUUGUAAAGCCCUUUUGUUGGGAAAGAAAAGCAGCAGGUUAAUACCCCGCUGUUCUGACGGUACCCAAAGAAUAAGCACCGGCUAACUUCGU